AGCGCCAUCAUCUAAUGGUUAGGAUUCAGGCUUUUCACGCCUGCCAUACGGGUUCGAAUCCCGUUGGCGUUA
RNAcentral lists this transfer RNA (72 nucleotides) under Bacteriophage sp. RNAcentral describes it as "tRNA-Glu". It matches the Rfam family "tRNA". From Rfam's summary of the family: Transfer RNA (tRNA) molecules are approximately 80 nucleotides in length. Their secondary structure includes four short double-helical elements and three loops (D, anti-codon, and T loops). Further hydrogen bonds mediate the characteristic L-shaped molecular structure. tRNAs have two regions of fundamental functional importance: the anti-codon, which is responsible for specific mRNA codon recognition, and the 3' end, to which the tRNAs corresponding amino acid is attached (by aminoacyl-tRNA synthetases). tRNAs cope with the degeneracy of the genetic code in two manners: having more than one tRNA (with a specific anti-codon) for a particular amino acid; and 'wobble' base-pairing, i.e. permitting non-standard base-pairing at the 3rd anti-codon position. RNAcentral also lists the same sequence under 2 other names. The record is from RNAcentral.